RNAcentral lists this ribosomal RNA (468 nucleotides) under uncultured bacterium. RNAcentral's name for it is "partial 16S ribosomal RNA". It matches the Rfam family "Bacterial small subunit ribosomal RNA", at positions 28 to 507 of the family's 1533-position model. The record is from RNAcentral.
GAUGAACGCUGGCGGCGUGCUUAACACAUGCAAGUCGAACGGAAAGGCCCAAGCUUGCUUGGGUACUCGAGUGGCGAACGGGUGAGUAACACGUGGGUGAUCUGCCCUGCACUUCGGGAUAAGCCUGGGAAACUGGGUCUAAUACCGGAUAGGACGAUGGUUUGGAUGCCAUUGUGGAAAGUUUUUUCGGUGUGGGAUGAGCUCGCGGCCUAUCAGCUUGUUGGUGGGGUAAUGGCCUACCAAGGCGUCGACGGGUAGCCGGCCUGGGAGGGUGUACGGCCACAUUGGGACUGAGAUACGGCCCAGACUCCUACGGGAGGCAGCAGUGGGGAAUAUUGCACAAUGGGCGCAAGCCUGAUGCAGCGACGCCGCGUGGGGGAUGACGGCCUUCGGGUUGUAAACUCCUUUCGCUAGGGACGAAGCGUUUUUGUGACGGUACCUGGAGAAGAAGCACCGGCUAACUACGUG